AACGAACGCUGGCGGCAUGCCUAACACAUGCAAGUCGAACGAGACCUUCGGGUCUAGUGGCGCACGGGUGCGUAACGCGUGGGAACCUGCCUUUAGGUUCGGAAUAACUCAGAGAAAUUUGAGCUAAUACCGGAUGAUGUCUUCGGACCAAAGAUUUAUCGCCUUUAGAUGGGCCCGCGUUGGAUUAGCUAGUUGGUGGGGUAAAGGCCUACCAAGGCGACGAUCCAUAGCUGGUCUGAGAGGAUGAUCAGCCACACUGGGACUGAGACACGGCCCAGACUCCUACGGGAGGCAGCAGUGGGGAAUAUUGGACAAUGGGCGAAAGCCUGAUCCAGCAAUGCCGCGUGAGUGAUGAAGGACUUAGGGUUGUAAAGCUCUUUUACCCGAGAUGAUAAUGACAGUAGCGGGAGAAUAAGCUCCGGCUAACUCCGUG
RNAcentral lists this ribosomal RNA (433 nucleotides) under uncultured bacterium. RNAcentral's name for it is "partial 16S ribosomal RNA". It matches the Rfam family "Bacterial small subunit ribosomal RNA", at positions 29 to 507 of the family's 1533-position model. The record is from RNAcentral.